UACGAAGGGUGCAAGCGUUACUCGGAAUUACUGGGCGUAAAGCGUGCGUAGGUGGUGAGUUAAGUCUGAUGUGAAAUCCCCGGGCUCAACCUGGGAAUGGCAUUGGAUACUGGCUCGCUAGAGUGCGGUAGAGGGUGGUGGAAUUCCCGGUGUAGCAGUGAAAUGCGUAGAUAUGCGGAGGAACACCGAUGGCGAAGGCAAUCCCCUGGGCCUGCACUAACGCUCAUGCACGAAAGCGUGGGGAGCAAACAGG
This 253-nucleotide ribosomal RNA is filed under the name uncultured bacterium. Its description in RNAcentral is "partial 16S ribosomal RNA". It matches the Rfam family "Bacterial small subunit ribosomal RNA", at positions 524 to 776 of the family's 1533-position model. The record is from RNAcentral.